This 663-nucleotide ribosomal RNA is filed under the name uncultured Candidatus Saccharibacteria bacterium. RNAcentral's name for it is "bacterial SSU rRNA". It matches the Rfam family "Bacterial small subunit ribosomal RNA", at positions 793 to 1482 of the family's 1533-position model. Lineage: Bacteria; Candidatus Saccharimonadota. The record is from RNAcentral.
GUCCACGCCGUAAACGAUGGAUACUAGCUGUUGGAGGUAUCGACCCCNUUCAGUAGCGAAGCUAACGCGUUAAGUAUCCCGCCUGUGGAGUACGGCCGCAAGGCUAAAACAUAAAGGAAUUGACGGGGACCCGCACAAGCGGUGGAUUAUGUUCUUUAAUUCGAUGAUAACCGAAGAACCUUACCAGGGCUUGACAUCCAGGGAAGGUCUGCGAAAGUAGACUGUGCCUUUUGGAACCCUGUGACAGGUGAUGCAUGGCCGUCGUCAGCUCGUGUCGUGAGAUGUUAGGUUAAGUCCUUCAACGAGCGCAACCCUUGUGAAUAGUUGUAUUUUUCUAUUCAGACUGCCCCGGUAACGGGGAGGAAGGAGGGGAUGAUGUCAGGUCAGUAUUUCCCUUACGUCCUGGGCUAGAAACGUAAUACAAUGGCUAGUACAAUGCGCANGCGAAGCCGCGAGGUGAAGCAAAUCGCAUCAAAGCUAGUCCCAGUUCGGAUUGUAGGCUGAAACUCGCCUGCAUGAAGUCGGAAUCGCUAGUAAUCGCAAAUCAGCAAGUUGCGGUGAAUACGUUCCCGGGUCUUGUACACACCNGCCCGUCAAACCAUGAAAGUGACCAACACCCGAAGUCCGAUUCGUCGGCCUAAGGUGGGGGGCAUGAUUGGGGUU